UCCUACGGGAGGCAGCAGUGGGGAAUAUUGCGCAAUGGGGGAAACCCUGACGCAGCAACGCCGCGUGAAGGAAGAAGGUUUUCGGAUUGUAAACUUCUUUUAUCAAGGACGAAAAUGACGGUACUUGAUGAAUAAGCCACGGCUAACUACGUGCCAGCAGCCGCGGUAAUACGUAGGUGGCAAGCGUUGUCCGGAUUUACUGGGUGUAAAGGGCGAGUAGGCGGGAUAUCAAGUCAGAUGUGAAAUCUGGGGGCUUAACCCCCAAACUGCAUUUGAAACUGAUGUUCUUGAGUGAUGGAGAGGCAGGCGGAAUUCCCGGUGUAGCGGUGGAAUGCGUAGAUAUCGGGAGGAACACCAGUGGCGAAGGCGGCCUGCUGGACAUUAACUGACGCUGAGGAGCGAAAGCGUGGGGAGCAAACAGGAUUAGAUACCCGUGUAGUCCA
RNAcentral lists this ribosomal RNA (443 nucleotides) under uncultured bacterium. RNAcentral's name for it is "bacterial SSU rRNA". It matches the Rfam family "Bacterial small subunit ribosomal RNA", at positions 337 to 797 of the family's 1533-position model. The record is from RNAcentral.